Long non-coding RNA from Silurus meridionalis, 1505 nucleotides. RefSeq lists it as uncharacterized. The transcript is spliced from 3 exons. NCBI's taxonomy places the organism in Eukaryota, Metazoa, Chordata, Actinopteri, Siluriformes, Siluridae. The record is from RefSeq and is a predicted model, not a curated record.
GGAGGUAAGCCUGAGCCAGCCUGCCAGUGCUGUGGGGGCCUGGGUACUUCCAGGUGCACUGCCACAUGGUGGAGGUAGGGGAUGGAACACCAUGUGAAGGUGAGGUGUGUGCACAGGGAUGUACACACAUAUGUGCCUAAAUAAUUAGUUACAAACUUUUUGGUAUUUUUGAAAUUGCAACCUGCCUGAGACCCAAGACCAAAAAGGAUUUGAGAGUGUUUUUGGAGCUGGCUGGCUAUUUUUUGCAGGUUUGUGCCUAAUUAUUUGUCUGUCACCAACCCUCUGACUGAUUUGAUUAAAUUGCAACUUUGAAAUUUGUACACCCUGGAACAUGUUUUCUAAUUUUGCUUAAAAAAAUCUUUUUGUAAUAUAUUAUUUUUUAAAGUCUCUUAAUAGUCAAACUGGCCAUUAAACUUGCAAAAUUUCACCAACAAGCCUUGCUGUUGUUGUUAUUACUAAUUACUAAUGGACUUUAUCAUAAUACAGUUCUGCUUCAUUCUGUAUCAACUCUAUAUAAUUGUAAAUAUAUAUAAAUCCUAGCUGGUCUUUACAUAUCUGUAUACUAUGGUGUGGUCCCUGUAUCAUUUAAAGGUUGUUUUUCUUUCUCUCUUAGCUGAUCACUAAAUGAGCAAUACUGUGAUUACUGUAAUACAGUACAUUAUAAAAAUGUAUACAUUUUCUCUGUACUGUACUGUACCCUUUGAAAGUCACCAAAAUUUCCCCGUAUCAUCAGGGGUUUUUUUUUAUCUUCUUCCUGGAUAUGGUCCCUUUCCACAUUUUCACAUUCAAACAUUUUCGUUUCAUGUAAGAUAGCUUUGAGAUUGCGACUCAAAUAUGUAUAAUGUGUUUUGUCCCCUCACAUUAGAGACAUGUGGUGAACAUUUGGUACAUUGUCCAUUUAGAGCAGUGGUCCCCAACCUUUUUUUGCGCCACGGACCGGUUUAAUGUCGGACAAUAUUUUCACGGACCGGCCUUCAAGGUGUGGCGGAUAAAUACAACAAAAUAAAAUGAUUACGACCGGCAUAAAACUGGUAUUUUCUAAAUAUAAUAAUAAACGUGAAUCCACUGUGUUGUUUUUUGUUCAUUUUGCUAGCGUGGGGGGUUGAAAUUAGCGGUAAUGUACAGUAUUACGUGUUAGCGGCUGGAGCAGCCCCUUUAAGAAGGUAGCGGAUGUUGGUAAGACACGUGACUGAAGUAUCUUGACAUGCAUCAAGAGUGAGUCAUGGACAGAUGUGGCGAAAAGAAUCCGGGAACUUUCCAAAAUAAAACGAAAAUAAUUGGAGCAAACCAAAUACCCUGUUUCCAUAUCAACAUGAGUACAUCCAACUCCCUGAAAACACUACCAGUAAAUCUGUGUUAAGUAUUGGACCAACAGUUUCGAUGUAAGGACUAAUGAUAUCUUCAUACUGGCAGAGUUCACCACCCAGAACAAUGUGCUUAAACAGUCUAAACAGGAACUCCUGACGGUCACAUGCACUGACCACAUGAUAGUUAUCAGAGUCCUC